GUCGAACGCGCAGCAGUUUGUAGCAAUACAGAUUGUGGGCGCGUGGCGAACGGGUGCGUAACACGUGGAUAACCUUCCUUCAGGUGGGGAAUAACCCAGUGAAAAUUGGGCUAAUACCGCAUAACAUGACGAUGCCACAUGGUGUUGUCUUCAAAGGCGCAAGUCGCCAGAAGAGGGAUCCGCGGCCGAUUAGCUAGUUGGCGAGGUAAUGGCUCACCAAGGCAAUGAUCGGUAGCCGGACUGAGAGGUUGGCCGGCCACACUGGAACUGAGACACGGUCCAGACUCCUACGGGAGGCAGCAGUGGGGAAUCUUGCACAAUGGACGAAAGUCUGAUGCAGCAACGCCGCGUGGGGGAUGAAGCUUUUCGGAGUGUAAACCCCUUUCGACCCGGAAGAAAGCCCGCAAGGGUUUGACGGUACGGGUAUAAGAAGCCCCGGCUAACUACGUGCCAGCAGCCGCGGUAAAACGUAGGGGGCCAGCGUUGCUCGGAAUUACUGGGCGUAAAGGGUCCGUAGGCGGUGUGGCAAGUCGGUAGUGAAAUCUCUGGGCUUAACCCAGAGGCUGCUGCCGAAACUGCCGUGCUAGAGUGUGAGAGAGGCGAGUGGAAUUACGGGUGUAGCGGUGAAAUGCGUAGAUAUCCGUAGGAACAUCCGAGGCGAAGGCGGCUCGCUGGAUCACAACUGACGCUGAGGGACGAAAGCUAGGGGAGCAAACAGGAUUAGAUACCCUGGUAGUCCUAGCCCUAAACCAUCA
Molecule: ribosomal RNA, 755 nt
Filed under: uncultured Acidobacteriota bacterium
Lineage: Bacteria; Pseudomonadati; Acidobacteriota
Description: bacterial SSU rRNA
Rfam family: Bacterial small subunit ribosomal RNA
Source: RNAcentral